UAUUAAGAAACGAUGCAAAUCCAGGGAUCCGUGAUAAGCAAGGAUACAAUGCAGUUCAUUAUUCAGCUGCUUAUGGUCACCGUCUAUGUCUUCAGCUGAUUGCAAGUGAAACUCCUCUAGAUGUUUUAAUGGAAACCUCAGGAACAGACAUGCUGAGUGAUUCAGAUAAUAGAGCAACAAUAAGCCCUUUACACUUGGCUGCCUAUCAUGGUCACCAUCAAGCACUGGAAGUGUUGGUACAGUCUUUGUUAGAUCUUGAUGUCAGAAAUAGUAGUGGAAGAACACCCCUAGAUCUUGCAGCUUUUAAGGGCCAUGUUGAAUGUGUGGAUGUACUCAUUAAUCAGGGAGCCUCAAUCUUAGUAAAAGAUUACAUUUUGAAGAGGACACCUAUACAUGCAGCAGGUAUGCCAGAUAUUAUGCUUGAUUUAUUUAUAACUUCUAUCCAAUACUUUUUUCAAUUUCUGAUAUAUAAUAUUUCCGGUUAAUUGUCUUUAAAAUUUUGACCUUUUUUUGUUUCAAAUCAUAUAUGGAUUAUUUGACCUCACCAAAUAACUUUAUUCACACAAAUGAAUUUACAAAG
This 580-nucleotide small RNA is filed under the name Pan troglodytes (chimpanzee). Its description in RNAcentral is "retained intron". The record is from RNAcentral. Lineage: Eukaryota; Metazoa; Chordata; Mammalia; Primates; Hominidae.